CCUUCGGGUGAGUAGAGCGGCGGACGGGUGAGUAACGCGUGGGAAUCUACCAAGUAGUGGGGGACAACAGUUGGAAACGACUGCUAAUACCGCAUACGCCCUACGGGGGAAAGCGGGGGAUCUUCGGACCUCGUGCUAUUUGAUGAGCCCGCGUAAGAUUAGCUUGUUGGUGGGGUAAUGGCCCACCAAGGCGACGAUCUUUAGCUGGUCUGAGAGGAUGAUCAGCCACACUGGGACUGAGACACGGCCCAGACUCCUACGGGAGGCAGCAGUGGGGAAUAUUGGACAAUGGGCGCAAGCCUGAUCCAGCCAUGCCGCGUGUGUGAAGAAGGCUCUAGGGUUGUAAAGCACUUUCAGUAGGGAGGAAGGCCAGAGUGUUAAUAGCGCUUUGGAUUGACGUUACCUACAGAAGCAGCACCGGCUAACUCCGUGCCAGCAGCCGCGGUAAUACGGAGGGUGCAAGCGU
RNAcentral lists this ribosomal RNA (466 nucleotides) under uncultured Thalassolituus sp. RNAcentral describes it as "bacterial SSU rRNA". It matches the Rfam family "Bacterial small subunit ribosomal RNA", at positions 77 to 541 of the family's 1533-position model. Lineage: Bacteria; Pseudomonadati; Pseudomonadota; Gammaproteobacteria; Oceanospirillales; Oceanospirillaceae. The record is from RNAcentral.